RNAcentral lists this ribosomal RNA (253 nucleotides) under uncultured bacterium. RNAcentral describes it as "partial 16S ribosomal RNA". It matches the Rfam family "Bacterial small subunit ribosomal RNA", at positions 524 to 776 of the family's 1533-position model. The record is from RNAcentral.
UACGGGGGGGGCAAGCGUUGUUCGGAAUUACUGGGCGUAAAGCGCACGCAGGUGGCUGAGUCAGUCGAUUGUGAAAGCCCUGGGCUUAACCUGGGAAUUGCAGUCGAUACUACUCAGCUAGAGUAUGGGAGAGGGUAGUGGAAUUCCCGGUGUAGCGGUGAAAUGCGUAGAGAUCGGGAGGAACACCCGUAGCGAAGGCGGCACUCUGGGCCGGUACUGACGCUGAGGAGCGAAAGCGUGGGGAGCAAACAGG